RNAcentral lists this ribosomal RNA (287 nucleotides) under uncultured Barnesiella sp. RNAcentral's name for it is "partial 16S ribosomal RNA". It matches the Rfam family "Bacterial small subunit ribosomal RNA", at positions 65 to 339 of the family's 1533-position model. The record is from RNAcentral. Lineage: Bacteria; Pseudomonadati; Bacteroidota; Bacteroidia; Bacteroidales; Barnesiellaceae.
AGGGGCAGCAUGGUCUUAGCUUGCUAAGGCUGAUGGCGACCGGCGCACGGGUGAGUAACACGUAUGCAACCUGGCCGUCACAGGAGGAUAACCGGGAGAAAUUCCGCCUAAUACUCCAUAACACCGGAGGGAGACAUCUCCCACCGGUCAAAGGAAUUUAUUCCGGUGACGGAUGGGCAUGCGGCGCAUUAGCUAGUCGGCGGGGUAACGGCCCACCGAGGCGACGAUGCGUAGGGGUUCUGAGAGGAAGGUCCCCCACAUUGGAACUGAGACACGGUCCAAACUCC